UGGCUCAGUUGGUAGAGCAAUGCGCUUGCAACGCUAGGGUUGUGGGUUCGAUUCCCAU
This 58-nucleotide transfer RNA is filed under the name Salmo salar (Atlantic salmon). It matches the Rfam family "tRNA", at positions 8 to 63 of the family's 71-position model. Rfam says of the family: Transfer RNA (tRNA) molecules are approximately 80 nucleotides in length. Their secondary structure includes four short double-helical elements and three loops (D, anti-codon, and T loops). Further hydrogen bonds mediate the characteristic L-shaped molecular structure. tRNAs have two regions of fundamental functional importance: the anti-codon, which is responsible for specific mRNA codon recognition, and the 3' end, to which the tRNAs corresponding amino acid is attached (by aminoacyl-tRNA synthetases). tRNAs cope with the degeneracy of the genetic code in two manners: having more than one tRNA (with a specific anti-codon) for a particular amino acid; and 'wobble' base-pairing, i.e. permitting non-standard base-pairing at the 3rd anti-codon position. RNAcentral also lists the same sequence under 2 other names. Lineage: Eukaryota; Metazoa; Chordata; Actinopteri; Salmoniformes; Salmonidae. The record is from Rfam by way of RNAcentral.